Molecule: long non-coding RNA, 652 nt
Organism: Macrobrachium nipponense
Lineage: Eukaryota; Metazoa; Arthropoda; Malacostraca; Decapoda; Palaemonidae
Exons: 2
Source: RefSeq, a predicted model, not a curated record
UGUCAGUAACUACCUUUCAUAAUGGGAAAAUGUAUAUUUUUUGGGAGGAUAGCUCCUAAACUCUUUGCUUGUUAACAUUUAUUAUUUAUAUUUCUUCUAGAUGUGUGUAUAAGGUUGCCAGCGUGUAAUCGUUAGGCCGCUACUGUACAAGAACUUCAAAGACAUCUUUAAGACUGAAUGUAUCUUUAGGAAUUAACGGGACGGGAAGUCAUCUGAGAGGACGAAGUCUGACUGGAUGGAAGCUGUCCAGGUCUUGUUAAACAAGGCUUAAGCUACUCUUUAUAUGUAUUUCUCUUUGGGUAUAAGCGGUUAGUUAUCAUCCUGUGCUUCACACGGCUAAAGUAGGAAUAAAUCGAUCGACGAUUAUGCAACUAGCAUGAACAGAGCCUACGUAGAUCGUUCUGGGUGAAAGUAAUAGUUAGUUGACGUCGAUCGAAGAGGGUGUAACUAGAAUAUAGUUGCACCCUCAACGAUCGAUGUAGGACUCAAAUGACCCGAAUCUACAUCGAUCGACGAGGGUGCAACUAGAAAUAAGUCCAACAUCGAUCUAGGAGGGUGGAAAUAGGAUGAACCGAACUUACAAUUGUGGUUAAAGAAAUUUGAAGCGAAGAAGAAGUAAAUUAAAGUUGAUUAAAGGAGAAAUUGAAAGAAA